MicroRNA precursor from Ochotona princeps (American pika), 95 nucleotides. The record is from Ensembl. NCBI's taxonomy places the organism in Eukaryota, Metazoa, Chordata, Mammalia, Lagomorpha, Ochotonidae.
GCGGGCGGCCCCGUGCUGCAUUGCUGGUGCAUUGCACGUGUGCGCAGCAGGUGCAGUGCCUCGGCAGUGCAGCCCGGAGCCGGCCCCUGACACCG